AUUGAACGCUGGCGGCAUGCCUUACACAUGCAAGUCGAACGGCAGCACGGGAGCAAUCCUGGUGGCGAGUGGCGAACGGGUGAGUAAUAUAUCGGAACGUGCCCAGUCGUGGGGAUAACGUAGCGAAAGCUACGCUAAUACCGCAUACGAUCUAUGGAUGAAAGCGGGGGAUCGCAAGACCUCGCGCGAUUGGAGCGGCCGAUAUCAGAUUAGGUAGUUGGUGAGGUAAAGGCUCACCAAGCCGACGAUCUGUAGCUGGUCUGAGAGGACGACCAGCCACACUGGGACUGAGACACGGCCCA
RNAcentral lists this ribosomal RNA (302 nucleotides) under uncultured bacterium. RNAcentral's name for it is "bacterial SSU rRNA". It matches the Rfam family "Bacterial small subunit ribosomal RNA", at positions 30 to 333 of the family's 1533-position model. The record is from RNAcentral.